CAGUCGACGGUGACGAGCAGCUUGCUGCUCUGAUCAGUGGCGAACGGGUGAGUAACACGUGAGCAACCUACCCUUGACUCCGGGAUAACAGCUGGAAACAGCUGCUAAUACCGGAUACGACCUCGACCGACAUCAGUUGAGGUGGAAAGUUCUGGCGGUCAAGGAUGGGCUCGCGGCCUAUCAGCUAGUUGGUGAGGUAACGGCUCACCAAGGCUUCGACGGGUAGCCGGCCUGAGAGGGCGACCGGCCACACUGGGACUGAGAUACGGCCCAGACUCCUACGGGAGGCAGCAGUGGGGAAUAUUGCACAAUGGGCGAAAGCCUGAUGCAGCAACGCCGCGUGCGGGAUGACGGCCUUCGGGUUGUAAACCGCUUUCAGCUCCGACGAAGCGCAAGUGACGGUAGGAGCAGAAGAAGGACCGGCCAACUACGUGCCAGCAGCCGCGGUGAUACGUAGGGUCCGAGCGUUGUCCGGAAUUAUUGGGCGUAAAGGGCUUGUAGGCGGUUUGUCGCGUCGGAAGUGAAAACUCAGGGCUUAACCCUGAGCCUGCUUCCGAUACGGGCAAACUAGAGGAAUGCAGGGGAGAAUGGAAUUCCUGGUGGAGCGGUGGAAUGCGCAGAUAUCAGGAGGAACACCAGUGGCGAAGGCGGUUCUCUGGGCAUUUCCUGACGCUGAGAAGCGAAAGCGUGGGGAGCAAACAGGCUUAGAUACCCUGGUAGUCCACGCCGUAAACGGUGGGCACUAGGUGUGGGACUCAUUCCACGAGUUCCGUGCCGUAGCUAACGCAUUAAGUGCCCCGCCUGGGGAGUACGGCCGCAAGGCUAAAACUCAAAGGAAUUGACGGGGGCCCGCACAAGCGGCGGAGCAUGCGGAUUAAUUCGAUGCAACGCGAAGAACCUUACCUAGGUUUGACAUAUACCGGGAAAGCUGCAGAGAUGUAGCCCCCGCAAGGUCGGUAUACAGGGGGGUGCAUGGCUUGUCGUCAGCUCCGUGUCGUGGAGAUGUUGGGGUUAAGUCCCCGCA
RNAcentral lists this ribosomal RNA (1024 nucleotides) under Microlunatus sp. RNAcentral's name for it is "bacterial SSU rRNA". It matches the Rfam family "Bacterial small subunit ribosomal RNA", at positions 59 to 1091 of the family's 1533-position model. Lineage: Bacteria; Bacillati; Actinomycetota; Actinomycetes; Propionibacteriales; Propionibacteriaceae. The record is from RNAcentral.